GACGAACGCUGGCGGCGCGCUUAACACAUGCAAGUCGAGCGAUGAAAUCUUAACAGAACCCUUCGGGGUGAAGAUAAGACGGAUUAGCGGCGGACGGGUGAGUAACACGUGAGUAACCUGCCUUUUACACAGGGAUAGCCUCAGGAAACCGGGAUUAAAACCUGAUGAAACUAUCAAAUCACAUGAUUAAGAAAGUUAAAACUCCGGUGGUAAAAGAUGGACUCGCGUCCCAUUAGCUAGUUGGUGAAGGUAACGGCCCACCAAGGCAACGAUGGGUAGCCGGCCUGAGAGGGUGAACGGCCACAUUGGAACUGAGAAACGGUCCAAACUCCUACGGGAGGCAGCAGUGGGGAAUAUUGCACAAUGGGGGAAACCCUGAUGCAGCGACGCCGCGUGAGCGAAGAAGGCCUUCGGGUCGUAAAGCUCUUUUAUAUGGGAAGAUAAUGACGGUACCAUAAGAAAAAGCCCCGGCCAACUACGUG
This 482-nucleotide ribosomal RNA is filed under the name uncultured bacterium. RNAcentral's name for it is "partial 16S ribosomal RNA". It matches the Rfam family "Bacterial small subunit ribosomal RNA", at positions 28 to 507 of the family's 1533-position model. The record is from RNAcentral.